ACUUUUAACAAUGGAUCUCUAGGCUUUCAUAUCGAUGAAGAACACAGUGAAAUGUGAUAAUUAAUGUGAAUUGCAGAAUUCAGUGAAUCAUCAAGUUUUUGAACGCACCUUGCACCUUUUGGUAUUCCAAAAGGUACACCUGUUUGAGUGUCAU
This 154-nucleotide ribosomal RNA is filed under the name Phakopsora pachyrhizi. Its description in RNAcentral is "5.8S ribosomal RNA". It matches the Rfam family "5.8S ribosomal RNA". From Rfam's summary of the family: 5.8S ribosomal RNA (5.8S rRNA) is a component of the large subunit of the eukaryotic ribosome. It is transcribed by RNA polymerase I as part of the 45S precursor that also contains 18S and 28S rRNA. The record is from RNAcentral. Lineage: Eukaryota; Fungi; Basidiomycota; Pucciniomycetes; Pucciniales; Phakopsoraceae.